Molecule: ribosomal RNA, 713 nt
Filed under: uncultured bacterium
Lineage: Bacteria
Description: bacterial SSU rRNA
Rfam family: Bacterial small subunit ribosomal RNA
Source: RNAcentral
UAGAGUUUGAUCAUGGCUCAGGACGAACGCUGGCGGCGUGCCUAAUACAUGCAAGUAGAACGCAUCUUGAAUGACCGAUUCUUCGGAUGAAGGGAUUUCGCUGGAUGAGUUGCGAACGGGUGAGUAACACGUGGGAAACCUACCUCUUAGCGGGGGAUAACACAUAGAAAUGUGUGCUAAUACCGCAUAAUUCUUUUUAUCGCAUGAUAGAAAGCUGAAAGGCGCAAUUGCGUCACUAGGAGAUGGUCCCGCGGUGCAUUAGCUAGUUGGUGAGGUAACGGCUCACCAAGGCUGCGAUGCAUAGCCGACCUGAGAGGGUGAUCGGCCACAUUGGGACUGAGACACGGCCCAAACUCCUACGGGAGGCAGCAGUAGGGAAUCUUCGGCAAUGGACGCAAGUCUGACCGAGCAACGCCGCGUGAGUGAUGAAGGUUUUCGGAUCGUAAAACUCUGUUGAUAGAGAAGAACAAGAGGAAGAGUGGAAAGCUUCCUCCUUGACGGUAUCUAUCCAGAAAGCCACGGCUAACUACGUGCCAGCAGCCGCGGUAAUACGUAGGUGGCAAGCGUUGUCCGGAUUUAUUGGGCGUAAAGCGAGCGCAGGCGGUUUCUUAAGUUGGAUGUUAAAGGCAUUGGCUCAACCAAUGUACGCAUCCAAAACUGGGAGACUUGAGUGCAGGAGAGGAGAGUGGAAUUCCAUGUGUAGCGGUGAAAUG